Taeniopygia guttata (zebra finch) is the source of this 5165-nucleotide long non-coding RNA. The record is from Ensembl. Lineage: Eukaryota; Metazoa; Chordata; Aves; Passeriformes; Estrildidae.
CUCCUCUUGGAACUUCUCUGAGCUGAGCACUGCUGGAACUAGGAGAGACUUCCUGUGCAUCAUUUUGAUGACACUAUUUCACCAUUAGUUGUGGAGCAGCAGGAAUGAAGUGAUUUGGAAGACUUCUUGCGGUGAGCCGAACCCCUGCUCUGAAUAUUUUUCUUCUGUCUAUAAUAUAUAGCAAUGACAAAUGGAAGCAUGGACUGGGCUGCUGAAGAAGUAGGAGACAAUAAGAGAACAAGUUAGAUGAGAAGUCCUCUGACCUUGAGAAAGAAACAGCUAUCACUUCCAAAGGCAUCUUGCUUUUUUGUCAAUUUUCAAGUAAAACACUGAAUACACAUACAGUGUCACUUGAAGAAAUACAAAUAAAGAAUACUUGCAGAGUAAUUUAAGAGAUUUUUGUGAAUUAAUUGAACAUCGAGCAAAUCUACUAGCAAAUAUUUGUUAUCAGGUCAGUCAACAAAAAGUUGGUCUACAUAAUUCCAUUUGAAGAGCUUCUCCUUUUACAUUUUAUAUGCUGUUUUGCUUAGACACUACAUAUAACAGUGCAUGCCUUUAAUCUUUAAUAGAAAGAUUCUUUCCCCAUUAAAACCUCCAUUAGGUCCCUCAAAGUUACAUUGGAAAAUAAUUCUAGCUUCUAUGUGUCUUAUAAACUUUAUGCAGUUAGCUCUUCUGGGAGGAUUCCUUUUCCUCAUUUGAGUGUGUCAAGCUGGAUUGCCUGAUACUUGUGCUUAGUUUUCACCAGUUUAUAAGUAGUUCAGAAUGGUAUCUGUCUGAUGACUAUCUGUACAUUGAGAGAACAAACAAAUCACAAGCAAAUGCUGUGUGUGAUGGGAAAUUUGCAGGCAUCUUGCUAUGUUGUCAAUUUUUUCUUAUAUUACACUAGAAACUUCUAAUGUCCAAGGAGUCCCAUUUCAAAUAGUGCCUUACUACUUGGCACCUGUUAAACAGAAAUCAAUGGACUUUUAUUCAUGCUAAUUUCUUUCUGUUUAGCAUAAGUUCGUAGUUGUUAAAGGUUCCUUCUUCAUUCUAAAAACAAUCAUGGGAGUUUACUCAUAAAGAUGAGCAAGGAGGAUGCAUAGGAAACACAGGAUUUUGCAGAGAGAGGAACAAAAUAAAAAUGCAGUCCAGAGCUUUUAUGUCAGCAUCCAGUCCAUUAACUCAAGCUGAUCCAAGUUUGCCUCUGGCUCUUUUUGCCCCUUCCUCUCUCUCCUUACUACAUUUUAUGCUGUUACAAGAGGGAUGGAUUUUACUGUAUGAGAUUCAAUGUCCACCGUAUGUUCAUGCAACACCAUUGUGAUACAUGUAGUUCAUACCGUUCAUGUUUGUGGCCAUGCAACAUAAAAUAACCUAAAAUAAUCCUCUGGAAUGCUGCAGUUUCCAGCCAUUUUAUUAUAUUUCAUUAUGUUCUGUAGCCUGAAUUGGCCAUCAACCUUCUCUCUGUUCCUAACAGGAGAAUGAUCAUAGUUAUUUUAUAGGGUUAAAAAGUUAUUGAGUCUUCCUAUAAAAUCGCAGUGUAGAAUUUGUUGUGAACAAAAUAGAGCUGACUACAUUACUAUAGCAGAAUAAUUUGCAGCCAGAAUUGAAGCAUGUUCUUAAAAUCUAUUUUUAACAGUGUUUUCAGAAAUAGGCUGCAGUACCUUGAUUUUUGUCCUACAUAUUUUUGAACUGUAGGGAAAACCUGACAUUAGCAUGUUAAUGCAGUUGUAUCACAUGGAUACGUAAUACAAAUGUGUUUUCAUGAAAACCCAUUUUAAGUUACUGUGUUGAACCACUCAAUACAGCUGGAUUAUUUUCAGAUUCUCUGUAAUUUCCUGGUCGCAAGGUAUUCCAAACGAACAAUUCUCUCAGACUUUUGGAAGCCCAUGCAGGAUUAAUCUAAACAGGAGGUACAAUAGAAAGCUCCACUUUGUUAUAGGACUGGAGUUUAUCCAUUGACUUCAGCACUCGUCAGAGUGUAAAGCACAUGAGUUCUUCUUUUCUUGUCUAAACUAUUUUGAAUGAGGUCUCUUUUACAUGCUAGUUUGGCAAGCUUCUAAGGCAUUUGUGCAAAGUGAUGAUCCAAGAGCAACCUGAUUCAAUACUGAGAAAAUCAUAAAUAACAUCCAGCAGUAAUUAAAGUGACAAACUACAGCUAAGAAAAUUGAUCUCCUACAGUAUCAGUUGAGCUGCUAUACCUUGCAGUGUUAGAAGUGGAGCAGUGUUAGAAGUUGUACCUUCAGCUUGGGAGGCAUCAUUGUGAAUUUUAAACACUGACUGAAAUAUGAUAGAUGUAGAUAGAGAAAGACUAAGAGUGGAAGAAAAACACAGCACCAGAAAUUACCAUCUGGAAACAUACUAAACAUUUAGUCAGUAUAUUUGUAUUAAAAUGAAGAGUUAAUUUUGAAGACCGGAAAGAUUUGAAGAUAACUUAGUGCUCUCUAUAAGGCCAUUCUCAGGAGUCAAGUGUAUAAUCGUCUGAGACAGGAAUAUUUACAACUUCAGACUGAAGAACUGGAAGAACCAGUUGAUGUCUUUACCAUCUUGAUGAGAGUGCGUACACUCCUUCCAGUAAGUACAUGCUAAAGUCACAAAAAACCCUAUAAGUUGUCUGGAUUUUUUUCUUAGAUCAGGGUUAACUGGCAGGUAACAGAACUUAUUUGUUCAGUUUUUAUUUGUACAGAUCUCAAAAAUGUAGUAGAAUUUAGGUAGCUGGUAGUAUAGCAAAUAAUAUGUAGGUCUUAAAAAUAUAAUUUGGAGGCUUUUUUACUCGUUUCUCAGGCUCUCUUCUGAACCACCAGCACAGCUUGGAUUUAUUGGAAGGAAUACAUGGCCCCACAUUGGGUAAAACCUAAAUCUGUUCCUGUUAGGGAACAGGCGUUGUGCUGUAGCACGUAAUCCAUACCUUUCUGGUCUUCAAACAAGAGGUGAGAGUAGCUGUGGAUACUAGUUCAUGCUUCAGGCAGAAAAAGUAGCUGCCCCGAAACAACUUGAGACUUAACAUGCAAGAUCUGGAAAGUAGCCACUGCAUGAUAUUUGGACUUCAACCACAGGAAUUUCUGUGAUUAUGGUUUUGAUAGCAGCCAGAUAUUGGGGGAAUUCAGAUUUUAUACCUUGGCAGGACAGAAUAAUUCAACUGUGUUGUAGAUUAUUUGAUAAUGAAACCAGGAGUAAAUUGUGAAAUUUAGCUCUUGAACUGGGAUUGGAUAAAAAUGCUCCAGUUUAGAUGUGUUUGUGGUUUGGACCAACAUCUUGCAGUCAGUUUUUGUCUUUUUGUGACUCUAGUUUUAGGUACUAAACUGUAAACAUCACAAAGUCUUCUUACUUAGGAAGUUUGCUCUAUGCUUCCGUACUAGAUACAAGAUUUUUAGCAGGACUUAAUCUGAGGAACAGUUAAACAAAAACUUGUAUGAAUAAGGCACUAGUAAAUGUUUGCAGCAAAUAACAAGUAUAGUCUAUAUUCUUUAAGAAUAAAACUGUUCUGUUUAGGAAAUCGCCUUUAAUAUGACAGAGUUACCAAUGCCAGUUAGAAGGGCCUAGAGAAAGUGCAUCUUUUGGGUUAUGCCUGUGAGGUCUGUGAGAAACCCCUGAAUGCAAAUCCCUGUUAAAUUAGGAAAUAGCCUGUGCAGUAGUGAUACUCAGGAGAUUGGAAGCAAGAGGAAACUAGUUUAGAUUCUGAUCCCUGCUAAACUAGUGUGAAAUCAGCUAUGGAUUUGCUUCUGAUCUAUUACAGUGGUAGAAGGACCUGAAGCCAAAAUUGAGGCUGUUUUAGCAAAUCUAGUUAAACAGCAACAGCGCUGGCCUAGGCCAAAGAAUUGGUGUUAAUCCCCUUAGACAGUUUCAAAAAAUAAUCUGGCAUUUUAAAUUUCCUAUUUGCUGAAGUUCAAGGAUGCAUUUUUUCUUUUGGCUAAUGUAAUAGGUCGAGGCCUUAUGUACUACUUUGGAGCUGACACCAUUCUAAACAGUUAUGACAGCAUUGAUCUGUACUUUAUACCAAAUGAAAUUUGAGUCUGCCAUUCCAUUUAUAGGAUGGCUGGGCAGUAUUUCGCGUUGAAAGUUGUUCAAAACCACCCAAGUUCUUCCAUUCAUAAAACCAAAACAUACUGCUACUUUUAAAAAACACAUUAAAGUAUCUGGUCUUUGAGGGGGGAUAAUUGAAGCACCAAGAAUCUGUUUAUCUAGCCAAUAAGAAAAUAUUUGCAAACUAACAGAUCUUGUUAGUAUUCAUGAUCUGCAUUUUCCUAGGAUCUGUCCAAUAAAACUAUUUUACCAUUAAUUUGUUAUACUAAAUCAGUCAAUGGUCAGUCUCAUUUAAUCACUAAAUCCUGCUUUGUAAACAACUUAACUUUAUUAUCUGACAAACUUGUGUUCCACUCAGAUCCUCCAUUUUUUUAUGUAAGAUGUCUUUUAAAAAACUUAACACAUUUGCAGUAUCCAUAAUGCAAGAGGGAAAAAAAAUCCCCUGCAUUGAUUGACUACUGUAUAUUAUUGCCAUUAGGUGCUACAAUUAACAACUCCAGGCAGUUGUUUUUUUUUUUUUUGUUGUUGUUGUUUGUGUAAAUUAUUUUGUAUUUUAUGUAAGGUCAUGUGGUAUUAAGUUUAUCUCAAAUGUGGUAUUAAGUUUAUCUUUAAGAUCACAUAUCCAUAGGGACCUCAGAAACUGUAAAACCAUCUCAACCAGCUUUUAAAAAUGUGAUGAGCUUUUUGUUUGUUCAUUUUGUGGGUUUUUGGCUCACAAGACUAAAGUUAUUGGUGGUAUAACUCAGCUGAAAUUUUCACCAAUAAUUAAUCUGGACUAAUAUUCAUUUCUUUAACAAAACAAAAAAAAUCACAGCAAGUAAGCUAAGUGCUGGGAAUCUCUCUCCCAUACAUGCUAUGCUAUACAUACUGAAAUACAGAAGAAAAUCCAGAAAUUUCUCCUCACAAAGAUCUUUCUUUAUAGCAACACAGGAAAACUUUUGCUUUUAAAAUACUUGUUUCUUAUCAGUAUGUCAGAGCAUAUGCUUUUCUAUGUGUGUGUGAGAUUAAUACAUGGCAUGUGUUUAUCUGAAUACUAAAAAAUGUUAUUGACUAUUGGAGCUGUGCAAAAUAUUUUCUGUAGAAGCUGACAAUCUUAAAAGUUUUUUUGAUUAAUCAUAAUUUUCAGUAAGAUGAUGUAAAUAUUUGCAACUGCAAAAUAAAUGAAA